CUACGGGAGGCUCCAGUGAGGAAUAUUGCACAAUGGAGGAAACUCUGAUGCAGCAACGCCGCGUGGAGGAUGACGCAUUUCGGUGUGUAAACUCCUUUUAUGAGUCAAGAAAAUGACGGUAGCUCAUGAAUAAGCACCGGCUAACUCCGUGCCAGCAGCCGCGGUAAUACGGAGGGUGCAAGCGUUACUCGGAAUCACUGGGCGUAAAGGACGCGUAGGCGGGAUAUCAAGUCAGGUGUGAAAUCCUACAGCUUAACUGUAGAACUGCACUUGAAACUGGUAACCUAGAGUAUGGGAGGGGGAGAUGGAAUUAGUGGUGUAGGGGUAAAAUCCGUAGAUAUCACUAGGAAUACCUAAAGCGAAGGCGAUCUCCUGGAACAUAACUGACGCUAAGGCGUGAAAGCGUGGGGAGCAAACAGGAUUAGAUACCCCAGUAGUC
This 439-nucleotide ribosomal RNA is filed under the name uncultured bacterium. RNAcentral describes it as "partial 16S ribosomal RNA". It matches the Rfam family "Bacterial small subunit ribosomal RNA", at positions 339 to 795 of the family's 1533-position model. The record is from RNAcentral.